Molecule: small RNA, 593 nt
Filed under: human gut metagenome
Source: RNAcentral
UAAUUGAUGGCACAUUAUUCUAGUCAAUUACUUUACUAGGAAGACGAGAUUAAACAAUCGUUAAAGGGCAUAUCUGUGAAACCUUUGGUGUUUGCUUCUUACGCCCAGUUUGGGGUGAAUGCUGAAGAUGAAAGAUAUAGGGCGCUCGUAAUGGCAUACGAUCAACGACCCUAUGUCUGUGGAGACCUGUUUUUGUAGCAAACCUAUACGUACAGACUGAUGGAUUUGUUACGAGAUUGGAUAGAACCUGUAUUGUGGCGCAAGCUAUGUGCAGUGUAGCCUGUCUUGAGUGAUAGUAUUGGGAUAAAUGAUCUUACUUUGUUUAGGCGGCCACCUAAAGAAAGCAUUGCGUUUUGAAAUUUCUAUUGCAAAAAAGAAUUAGAAGUAAAGUGUUGGUGGGGAAAUCUCCUAGGGUGUAGUUCAUUAUAGGAUUGCAGUGGGCACUAAGUGGUGAUCAAGUUGUAUGCACGGAGACGGCAUAUUGAUUUCAGUAAAGGGGAACCGCAUUAUUGGUAACGAUAGUGUUGAAAUCAGAGAAAUUCUACUUGACCUAAGGCUCAGAGUUUACUACAAUGACAGCCAUACAAUUAAUU